CAGCAGCCGCGGUAAUACGAAGGGUGCAAGCGUUAAUCGGAAUUACUGGGCGUAAAGCGUGCGUAGGCGGCUUUUUAAGUCGGAUGUGAAAUCCCUGAGCUUAACUUAGGAAUUGCAUUCGAUACUGGGAAGCUAGAGUAUGGGAGAGGAUGGUAGAAUUCCAGGUGUAGCGGUGAAAUGCGUAGAGAUCUGGAGGAAUACCGAUGGCGAAGGCAGCCAUCUGGCCUAAUACUGACGCUGAGGUACGAAAGCAUGGGGAGCAAACAGGAUUAGAUACCCGAGUAGUCCCUGUCUCUUAUAC
Molecule: ribosomal RNA, 301 nt
Filed under: uncultured bacterium
Lineage: Bacteria
Description: partial 16S ribosomal RNA
Rfam family: Bacterial small subunit ribosomal RNA
Source: RNAcentral